Molecule: long non-coding RNA, 1073 nt
Organism: Pezoporus occidentalis (night parrot)
Lineage: Eukaryota; Metazoa; Chordata; Aves; Psittaciformes; Psittacidae
Exons: 2
Source: RefSeq, a predicted model, not a curated record
UCUGCAUCCUCAGCACCGUUUCACACCAUAAACCCAUUCCUGCUGAGUUGUGCUACUUAGUCACGCAGACAAAAAUGACUACAUUAGGUACCAAAUCACCUUUAGGGUGUUCAGCUCCCCAGUCUUUGCCUGCUUCAGAAGGAGCGUAGAGUAAGCGUAGCCACCUAACUCAGGUUUCUCAAGCUUAAUAGUAGAAACGGAGAGUGGAAAUACUCCUCUCCCAUCUGUGUCUGUUUUUACAAAUGAGACUCCCACAGAACUGAGGAGUCCUUCUUCUUUUAAUUAAAGUGAUGAUAUGACCAUGGUGAGUGGCUACACUGAAUCUUUUAACUUCUUAUGAAUUCAUGAUAUAAGCAGUCUCUCUGCUUGACCAUUAAUUUAAAUACUCAUGCAAAACCUAGGAUUACUUGAUGCCUUUCUCUCUUUCAUACAGGCUUAUAAUGACCUUAAAAGCAUUAACUCAAUGUGAGGUCACAGAAUAAUUUCAGCUGCGGAUCAGUUGCUUAAUAACAGUUUUCUCAGAGUCAUGUAAUCACACAGGCUGUAAGGCUCAAGUAAUUCUUUCAUUUUCUGCCUCCAUAUUAAUGGAUUUAACCACUCCUAUGCACAAAAAGGAGAAAUGAGCUAACAGGAGAUUUUCUGUACUUGGGUUUACAGUGUCCAAAACAUACAGAGAAGCACGUAUCAUCUGAAAAAUUACUCAGGUAUUUCUGUAACUACUUAAGAAAUCAAAUGCUGUUUCAAAGUCAACCACCAGUAUAGUCACCUCUCACACAGUACGAGCAGGAUCUCACAGUGUUUUACCAUGUCAGUAACUAAUGGCUUGUCUUUGACUAUAUCUUAAGUCAAUUAAAUAAGUUUAUAGGCUGUGGUAGGCAAAACCUAACAAAUUUAUUUUUAGUCAUAAUUUUUAAUGGUUAAAAAUUUAGCCUGGUUUUAAAGUGAACUUUCUCUUGAUGAAAUAUGACAUGUCCCGUAAGCAAAUUAUUUGAUUUUGACACUGCUGUGAUACUGCCUUUUUUAGUGUCAGAAAUAUUUAUGAUUUUAAACAGGACAAUGCAUGGAUAAAAUGU